Molecule: ribosomal RNA, 446 nt
Filed under: uncultured bacterium
Lineage: Bacteria
Description: bacterial SSU rRNA
Rfam family: Bacterial small subunit ribosomal RNA
Source: RNAcentral
UGCAGUCGAACGGGAUUUGAGUAGCAAUACUUAAUGAGAGUGGCGCACGGGUGCGUAACGCGUAUGCAACCUACCUUUAACAGGGGGAUAGCUCCGAGAAAUCGGGAUUAAUACCCCAUAGUAUUAUUGAUUGGCAUCGAUUAAUAAUUAAAGCUCCGGCGGUUAAAGAUGGGCAUGCGUGCCAUUAGCUAGUUGGUGAGGUAAAGGCUCACCAAGGCGAUGAUGGCUAGGGGUUCUGAGAGGAUUAUCCCCCACACUGGUACUGAGACACGGACCAGACUCCUACGGGAGGCAGCAGUAAGGAAUAUUGGGCAAUGGACGCAAGUCUGACCCAGCCAUGCCGCGUGCAGGAAGACGGCCCUAUGGGUUGUAAACUGCUUUUAUCAGGGAAUAACCCCCCGGAUGUAUCCGGGGCUGAAUGUACCUGAAGAAUAAGCAUCGGCUAA